ACGCUCGACACCUACGGGGCAGCAGUUGGGAAUAUUGGACAAUGGAGGAAACUCUGAUCCAGUGACGCCGCGUGAAGGAAGAAGGUCUUCGGAUUGUAAACUUAUUUUGUCAGGGAAGAAAAAUGACUGUACCUGAAGAAAAAGCACCGGCUAACUACGUGCCGGCAGCCGCGGUAAUCUGAGCGGGCUGGCAAGGC
RNAcentral lists this ribosomal RNA (197 nucleotides) under uncultured bacterium. RNAcentral's name for it is "partial 16S ribosomal RNA". It matches the Rfam family "Bacterial small subunit ribosomal RNA", at positions 326 to 539 of the family's 1533-position model. The record is from RNAcentral.